AAAGGUAGCCCGGCCUCGGGAAAGCUUUUAUCUCUGGCGGAGCUCCUGGUAACCUUGGCGAUGCGCUCUCAGCAGCCGAGGAUUGAAAUUAUGUCAUUUUUCCCUCAGAUACCUUAGUCUCGGGCGGUAUCCUGUGAUGGAGGUGUGGUAAGUGAGACAGAGAGAUUUACACCGAGAGAGAACGCCUCUAUCUCCUCUCUACUCAUCCCUACCCUUUAAAAUAGACACUGACACAGUAAAAGAAGACGUGGAGCCCCUUCCCGAGCCCAAGGGUGCUGUUCUGGCUAGAACGCUUUAAAAUUGCUGAGGGUUCUUGGCACUGGAAAUACUUAAGUAACGUUUUGUUAACCAAACACGGAAUACUGAAGAGUCGUGGUUGCCAAAUCCAGGAAAAAUACGGGCGUUAGGAAAAGUCCAGGGAAAGCAGACUCAAUGAACAAGCUGUUAAGGGUCCUCUCUUACCAUGUCUGGCUGGCGGCGCCCCAGAUGCCAUGUGAUGACCAUUUGAAGACAGGCCUGUCGGACAUCAGGUAGUGAGCCCAUCACCGUGGCCAUUGUCACAUCUUCCUUGGUGGUGUGCAGCAUUACAACUCUGAGUGGAAACUCUGAGUACAUGGGCAAGUUUGUGGACACACGGACCUCACACAGGGAAACUGAUGGCCACCAUGUCACACACUGCAGUGGAAACCAUUGACAGAGGAUCCAAUGUGAGUGCCCACCUGGAGUUGUGCAGCAGUGCAGCCCUACAGGAGUAAUACAGAUGGAGUGAGAGCUGCUUUUCUGGGAGAAGUCAGCUGUUAUGUCAUGAGGACAAUUAAGAAACUCUGUAGGACUUCCCUGGUGGCGCAGUGCUUAAGAAUCCGCCUGCCAGUGAAGGGCACACAGUUUCGAGCCCUGGUCUGUGAAGAUCCCACAUGCCACAGAACGGCUAAGCCUGUACGCCAUAACUGCUGAGCCUGUGCUCUAGAGCCCACGAGCCACAACUACUGAAGCCCGCACGCCUAGAGCCUGUGCUCCGCAACAAGAGAAGCCACCGCAAUGAGAAGCCCGCGCACCACAAUGAAGAGUAGCUCCCACUCACCGCAACUAGAGGAAGCCUGAAGACCCAACGCAGCCAAAAAUAAAUAAAUAAAUAAAUAAAUUUAUUUAUUUAAAAAAAAAAAGAAAAGAAACUCUAUGGAGCACUCCACAUGGCAAUAAACUGAGCUCUCCUGCCACAAGCCAGUGAAAAACAGACCUCCAGUCAAGAGCCAUGUGAGUGAGUUCCUCCAGCCCCAGUUAAGCCUUAAGAUGACUACAGCCCCAGCCAACACCUUGACUGAAACCUCAUGAGAGACCUGAGCUAGAACCACCUGACUCUCAGAAAUUGUAUGAGCUGCUUUUCUGGGAGAAGUCAGCUGUUAUGUCAUGAGGACAAUUAAGAAACUCUGUAGGACUUCCCUGGUGGCGCAGUGCUUAAGAAUCCGCCUGCCAGUGAAGGGCACACAGUUUCGAGCCCUGGUCUGUGAAGAUCCCACAUGCCACAGAACGGCUAAGCCUGUACGCCAUAACUGCUGAGCCUGUGCUCUAGAGCCCACGAGCCACAACUACUGAAGCCCGCACGCCUAGAGCCUGUGCUCCGCAACAAGAGAAGCCACCGCAAUGAGAAGCCCGCGCACCACAAUGAAGAGUAGCUCCCACUCACCGCAACUAGAGGAAGCCUGAAGACCCAACGCAGCCAAAAAUAAAUAAAUAAAUAAAUAAAUUUAUUUAUUUAAAAAAAAAAAGAAAAGAAACUCUAUGGAGCACUCCACAUGGCAAUAAACUGAGCUCUCCUGCCACAAGCCAGUGAAAAACAGACCUCCAGUCAAGAGCCAUGUGAGUGAGUUCCUCCAGCCCCAGUUAAGCCUUAAGAUGACUACAGCCCCAGCCAACACCUUGACUGAAACCUCAUGAGAGACCUGAGCUAGAACCACCUGACUCUCAGAAAUUGUAUGAGGGAGAAGGCCUGCAGGGCACAGGCGAGCGGAGGCGGGCAGCGAGGAGAAGGCGCCAGCAGCAGAGCCAGCAGCAGGCGGUAGAGUUCCCGGCGGCAGCGUGAGCUGGUAUACGGGGAGUUGCCUAGGACCUCGCCCUGCUGGACGCCCAUGACCAGUGGGAGGACCAGAUCAUGCAGUCUCUGAAAAGGACAGAGAGCACACCUUGCGAUGACACUGAGACGAGCCAACCCUUCUCCGGGGCCUACUCCCCGGUGUGAAUGAGCCCCCCACAGGCACAGAGCAGCGGCCCCUCCCACCUCCGUGGGCACCAGGCUCCACUCACCCUGUGAGUCUCCUCCUUGAUGAGAGGCCCGCACAUGAGGAUGGUCCGGCUGAGGCCUGGGGAAGGAGACCAGUAUGUUGGAGGUGGGCGGCUAACACGAUGACGAGCCAGGGCUUCUGAAGCGCGUGGCCCCAGCUGAGCACCCCGCUCUGCCGCGGCCCACCUCGGGCAAGUCACGUAACUCCUCUUAGUUUGUUUUCUCAGCUAUAAAACGGGGAUCCUAAAC
Balaenoptera ricei (Rice's whale) is the source of this 2527-nucleotide long non-coding RNA. RefSeq lists it as uncharacterized. NCBI's taxonomy places the organism in Eukaryota, Metazoa, Chordata, Mammalia, Artiodactyla, Balaenopteridae. The record is from RefSeq and is a predicted model, not a curated record. The transcript has 7 exons.